GCCAAAGUCUAGUUGCUUCCGAACUUACCACCAAAAUGAUACCAAGAAGACACUCUUCAGAUGUCUUACAACCUAAUAUUUGAUUUUUGACUCCAACAUAUGAAAAAACCAAACCCUAUAGCACACAAGCAACACUUGCUAAAAAUUUCACCACCCUUCUUACAACUUUUGCCACUCAAUUUUUCCUUGCUUUUUUCUUAAAUUUUUUCCAAUUUUUUUUUAUGAUUUCCACAUUCCUAAUCUCUAGUUUUAAUUCAAAAUCAUAGUAGCAAACCAUGUGGGACAUCCCAUAUAAAUAAGGGACCAAG
Molecule: long non-coding RNA, 308 nt
Filed under: Elaeis guineensis (African oil palm)
Lineage: Eukaryota; Viridiplantae; Streptophyta; Magnoliopsida; Arecales; Arecaceae
Description: long non-coding RNA (EGUI_LNC066135)
Source: RNAcentral